AUACGGAGGGUGCAAGCGUUACUCGGAAUUACUGGGCGUAAAGCGCGCGUAGGCGGUCUAUUAAGUCAGAUGGGAAAUCCCAGGGCUCAACCUUGGAACUGCAUCUGAUACUGGUAGACUAGAGUUUUGGAGAGGGAAGUAGAAUUUCAGGUGUAGCGGUGAAAUGCAUAGAGAUCUGAAGGAAUACCAGUGGCGAAGGCGACUUCCUGGCCAAAAACUGACGCUGAGGUGCGAAAGCGUGGGUAGCAAACGGGAUUAGAAACCCCUGUAGUCC
This 274-nucleotide ribosomal RNA is filed under the name uncultured bacterium. Its description in RNAcentral is "partial 16S ribosomal RNA". It matches the Rfam family "Bacterial small subunit ribosomal RNA", at positions 523 to 796 of the family's 1533-position model. The record is from RNAcentral.